RNAcentral lists this ribosomal RNA (492 nucleotides) under uncultured bacterium. Its description in RNAcentral is "partial 16S ribosomal RNA". It matches the Rfam family "Bacterial small subunit ribosomal RNA", at positions 29 to 507 of the family's 1533-position model. The record is from RNAcentral.
AGUGAACGCUGGCGGUAGGCCUAACACAUGCAAGUCGAACGGCAGCACAGUAAGAGCUUGCUCUUACGGGUGGCGAGUGGCGGACGGGUGAGGAAUACAUCGGAAUCUACUUUUUCGUGGGGGAUAACGUAGGGAAACUUACGCUAAUACCGCAUACGACCUACGGGUGAAAGCAGGGGAUCUUCGGACCUUGCGCGAUUGAAUGAGCCGAUGUCGGAUUAGCUAGUUGGCGGGGUAAAGGCCCACCAAGGCCACGAUCCGUAGCUGGUCUGAGAGGAUGAUCAGCCACACGGGAACUGGGACACGGUCCAGAUUCCUACGGGAGGCAGCAGUGGGGAAUAUUGGACAAUGGGCGCAAGCCUGAUCCAGCCAUACCGCGUGGGUGAAGAAGGCCUUCGGGUUGUAAAGCCCUUUUGUUGGGAAAGAAAAGCAGCAGGUUAAUACCCCGCUGUUCUGACGGUACCCAAAGAAUAAGCACCGGCUAACUUCGUG